AAGUCGUAACAAGGUUUCAGUAGGUGAACCUGCGGAAGGAUCAUUAACACGUAUCCAAACGUUAAAAACCCCCCCCGUGAACAUUCAAUCCUGCUCUUGUAACCCGCGUAGUUCGCAAUCUCUGGUAAAUCAUAGCCCGGAAAGUAGUUUUGAUUCAGAGACCUCUGGCUACGUGAGAACAUUGGAACAGUUACAAUCGAGCGGUAGUUUCAUAGGCAUUGUUUCCCCAAGCAGUCAGUGUCUGAAAGUGUCACUGAUUGUGCAAGGAUAGCGCUUCAACGAUUCCUGUAGACCGUACACUCGGGCAGGAGCUAUGCCAAAGGGUCCCCAUGCCCCCUUAUAACCCCACAGUUUAAUGUGAAGCUCAAUGUAAUACAUUGGGUAAAAAAACCGAACAACUGUUAACAAUGGAUAUCUUGGUUCUC
This 425-nucleotide unclassified non-coding RNA is filed under the name fungal sp. Its description in RNAcentral is "partial internal transcribed spacer region". The stretch from base 1 to 46 matches the Rfam family "Eukaryotic small subunit ribosomal RNA", at positions 1786 to 1831 of the family's 1831-position model. Lineage: Eukaryota; Fungi. The record is from RNAcentral.